This is a long non-coding RNA of Leguminivora glycinivorella, 220 nucleotides long. RefSeq lists it as uncharacterized. The transcript has 3 exons. NCBI's taxonomy places the organism in Eukaryota, Metazoa, Arthropoda, Insecta, Lepidoptera, Tortricidae. The record is from RefSeq and is a predicted model, not a curated record.
AGUGACACAGAAGAAGUUAAAAGCGAAACAUAAGAAACCGUAUUCGAAGUGACUACGAAUCAUUGAUUUGUAUAAAAGAAGCAAUAUUUUGGGAUCUGCACCCCAAUACGUAGCAGUUAAAGAUCUUAAGACAUUGAGAGCUUUGUUGGAUUUAAUAAGAAAUUGACGAUCCACUGAACUAAUUUCUUUGGCAAUCCAAUUGAUGACAACUCAAUGGCAA